RNAcentral lists this small RNA (888 nucleotides) under Arabidopsis thaliana (thale cress). RNAcentral describes it as "ATSL249420". The record is from RNAcentral. Lineage: Eukaryota; Viridiplantae; Streptophyta; Magnoliopsida; Brassicales; Brassicaceae.
UUUUAUCAUUCUUUGUACUUCUUAAAUAGAUCGGAAAACUAGAUCAUAACCCGUGUUAUACAGCACGGACAUUAAUAUUUUGUAUAAAUUAAAUUGUAUACUUUGUUUGAAUUACAUAAGAAAUAGUAUAGUAUAAAAGUGAUGCCAUAAUAUUUUUCAAUGUUUUACUAUUUACAUAUAAUGCAUUAGAUUGACUUUGUUUAAAAAUGUUAUUGUUAUAAUAAAUACAACAUAUGUAGUUUUAAGUAAAUGUGUAAAAUUUGUAUAGAAGUUAUUUUGGUAAGAAACAUGUUUCCUUUGUAUUAGAGGAUCUAAUUUUUGGUCUAAUUUAGAAUUAGUUUUUGUAUAGUAUUUUGGUUAUAUUUGUGGACCUAAUUGGGGCCUAUAUUAGAUUAUCUUUAAUAGGGCUGACGAAAAAACGGACCCGAUAACCAACUCAAUACUCGAACCAAAAAAUCGGGUUAGGGCGGGUUAAAAUUUUAGGAAAUUUCCUUAUUGGGUAGAGUUUUAGUAAACCCGUGGAUAUCCGAUUGGACCGGAAAUUACCCGUUAUCUAAAAAGAGUAUUCAAAAACCCAAACAUUAAUUUAAUAUCCAAAAUAUUAAUUAUAUGAUAUUAUUUUAUUUGAUUUUAAAUAUAUAGUAAAAUGCGAGUUGUAUAUGUUUUCUUGAUAUUAUUUAUAUUGUUUAGUGUUUAAAAUUAUACACUUGUAUUUUGAUUGUUAAUUUUAGAGUUUCACCUGUAAUAUACCAUCUUAUAUUAAUAUCGAUUUAAACCCGUCAAUUCUAGGAUUUUCCAGCUUGUAUUAAAAAUUGAAUCACAUCAUACACAUAAAAAAAUCUAAUAUGUUAUUAAUUAUUGUUGUAUAUAAGAUUAUAAAUUCUUAAA